Molecule: ribosomal RNA, 425 nt
Filed under: uncultured bacterium
Lineage: Bacteria
Description: bacterial SSU rRNA
Rfam family: Bacterial small subunit ribosomal RNA
Source: RNAcentral
UGAGGAAUAUUGGACAAUGGAGGCAACUCUGAUCCAGCCAUGCCGCGUGAAGGACUAAGGCCCUAUGGGCUGUAAACUUCUUUAGACGCAGAGCAAUAAGGUCCACGAGUGGAUCGAUGAGAGUAUGCGUAGAAUAAGCAUCGGCUAACUCCGUGCCAGCAGCCGCGGUAAUACGGGGGAUGCAAGCGUUAUCCGGAUUCAUUGGGUUUAAAGGGUGCGUAGGCGGCUUGGCAAGUCAGCGGUGAAAGGCCCGGGCUCAACCCGGAAAGUGCCGUUGAUACUGUCAGGCUAGAAUGCGGAUGCUGUGGGAGGAAUGAGUGGUGUAGCGGUGAAAUGCAUAGAUAUCACUCAGAACACCGAUUGCGAAGGCAUCUCACAAAUCCGUGAUUGACGCUGAGGCACGAAAGCGUGGGGAUCGAACAGGA